GAGGUUGGAGCGGGCGGCGGACGUCGGCAGAACGCUCGGUGGGGUGGGACCGUCUCCUAGGUGACACAGGAAGGAUGCCGCGAGCUUCUCAGGGGCUGCGACCUUCGCAAAGGCUUUUGGAACCCGGUCCGGUGUGGCUACUGAGGCUGCCGCUACUCCCUGGAGGCCGCAGGUCUGGGCCGAUCGGCCUCAGGGGAGAGGCGGGACAAGGCGGGAUGUUGCGGUUCGUCUUUCUGAAUCAAGGCUAGAAACGUACAGCCACAGGAGGCUCAAAGAGACGGGAACUGAAAUGAGGUUGUUGGCGGUCCGCGAGCAGCCGUCUGCAAGGAUGGACGCUGGAAGAUAAAGCGGAGAAAAGAUCUCGGAAGAAAGUGUUGCUGGCCGGUACUCAUUGGGCCCUUGGUUUCAAAUUCAUUCGGCCUUAGGGAGGGGUCAGGACCUGGCAUGCUGGGAUUUGGAGUCCAGACCAAAGCAACUCCCAGGGGUUAAGCUAGCCGGGCAGCGGGACACAACCCACUGCUCCUUCUACAACAUGCAAGGUCAGAAGAGGGCACCAGACCUCAUUACAGAUGGUUGUGAGCCACCAUGUGUUUGCCGAGAAUUGAACUCAGGACCUUUGGAAGAGCAGGGCAAUUCAUGUAUCCCUCCUAGGAUCCUACUUGUUACCUAGCUUUUCUGGAGCUGUGGAUUGUAACCUGGUUAUCCUUUGCUUAACAUCUAUUAUUUCACUUAUGAAGCCUUCAUCUAGCAACUGAUGGAAACAGAUGCAGAGAUCCACAGUCACUGGCUGAGUGUUGAAGGUGCCGUGUUAGCCAAGCUCCAGUUGAAGACAGGGAGGAGCGAUAAUAUGAGCAAAGGUGUCAAGAUCAUGAUGGGGAUAUCCACAGGACAGCUCACCUGAGCUAAUCGGACUCUGGACUGACAGCAGGGGAACCAGCAUAGGACCAAACUAGUCCCUUUGAAUGUUCACAGUUCAACUCUGCUCCCAUGAAUCUGACUGAGAUUUCUACAGCCUGUGAGAAGUUACCAAUUUCUUAUCAUUUUCAUACGAAAAAUUUCUGACUGGCGACAUAACUCAGUGGUAGAACUCCUCCUGCCUGACAUGUACCUGGAUCUGUAUUCUAUUCAUAAGACCCAUAAUGACCCGGUUUACACCUCGAACCGUUUAAGAGGCAGGAGACUGCAAAUCUGGUCACUUAGGAAGGAGCCCAGGGCACCUAAUUGAAACCCAGGACUUAAUGGUGUUUGUGACCCCACAUGGCCCCCUCAAGAUGCCUGUUGGAGACUUGUUCUUUGGGGGCAGACCUAAUGUCUGGUGAGCUGGAGCUGGUGGCCCAAGGAAAAAUCCAACUCGGCACUGGUAACACAGAAGAAGCAGCAGAGCCGCAGCCUCGGGAACAGCUCGUCCAGAAGCUGGUGCUGUCAGAGUGGCAAGGCGGCCCGCCGCUCGAUAACUGAAGACGCAGGCCUAUGAGGUUAGCAGGCCAAGACAGAUGGCGAAACAAAUGAAACUCAGCCCCAAACACACCGAUACACCAAAAACAAGCAAAGCAAAACAGCAACAACAGAAGAACAUAAACCAGAACAUCCAAACUGGCCUACGUACCUGUUCUGCCUCUGUCUUCGGAGCAGGAAAAUGCUAAGAUUGAAGCCAUGCUUCAAGAAGUGAGAACCUCCCCAGAAAUGCCAGGUUGGGAGUGAAAAAGGCCCUGUAGAAGAGCGCUGGUAUUCGGCACUAGGAGAAGUAUGGAUAUUUUCCUCUUCCGGUAACUGGAGGCCCCUGGGCUAAAUCUUCACUUGCAUAGUUAGUUCCCGAUUUUUGCUUCAUCUUUUUUUUCAGUCCUUGGCCUAAUGCACACCUAUUCCCAUAGACUGUGUGAGGAGAUAAAGCAAACUUGGGGCAAGUUUUGACUUUGCAACACUUUCUUCUGAAAGUAACUGUCAGAACAUUUCCAUUCCUGUCUGAGACUGCUUUGGGAGCCCUGUGGUGCUGUACCUGCUGUGACAUUACCAGGUAGAAGAGAGACGUGGAACACGGUCGUUCUUCAGCUGUUGAGCUUCUAGUUCCCACACCACUGGUCCUCCCUGGAUUUGCCACCGUAGGGCUGGAUGUUUACAUCCUUUAGGAUGGGGAGAAAAGCAAAACGAACAGUUUUUGAGACAUCAGAUGUUCUAAUCAGAAAUAUAUUGUAAUUUAGCUAAAUUGCUAUGAAAAUAUGAGGCCAUGAAAGAUCAAUUUGUCGUUUUGUCUAUCAAUUUGAUUUAGCAAUGAUUUACUAGGCAUUGCCGGCAUUGUUUCAAGUAUGACUCUCCUAACUCCACAGCCUUGUGCAAUUUUUCAGGCACCUUCACGGUGACAUUCAUUUUAGAAUACUUUUUUCCACUCCUCUAGAAAAUCAGGAAGUUGAAAAUGGCAGUAUUGAUAGGAAACCUAAAAUCCAAUCAGAUAUCUGGCCCACGUUCAGACUUACUUGGUUGUGUUAUUUAAAUCACAAUCCAGACAAAGUUUAUACAUUGGAUUCACUUGAAGUGUGCACUGUGAGGCAUUUUAUGUACAGGGAAGCUCAGGAGCAGAGAAGAGCAUAUGGUCAGGAUUCAGGGAAAAUUCUCUGCUGAAUCAGUUAGUCCUGUUGGGGUUACAGAUUUUAGGAAGCCAUAGUCUUUGUCCUCAAGGAGUUCCGUCUUCUGUUCCUAUAACACUCUAUGAGUAUAUCCAUCACAAGCCUUACAUUAUUAGUUUUUCUGCAUCUGUCCUCAGUUAAAGGCGGGGAGCAUUUCGUCUUCAACAUUGCAUUUGUUAUACACAGCUCAGUUACUGGUACGCAGUAGGAAGCGGUGUCCUUUGUCUAACUUUGCAUUGGGAACCAUGAGAUUUUUAUAGCAUGGCUGUGCCUUGAUAAGGUUUUCAUUGGAGGUAAAUAAAGGUUGCUAGUUGUUUUGGAAACAUGGACGAUUGGAAGCAGGGAGGAGUCUAUUGCAGAGUUCAUGCUAGAGAGGAUGAAGAUGAGAACUAGGGUGAAGACAGUAGGUAUGAAGAAAAGGCGAAUGGAGAGUUGCUGAGAAGGCAAGUUAGCACGAUUUGGGAACCUUUCCUAUGUGGAGAAUGAGGAGCUUCAGGCUUGGGGAACAGUGAUGCCCCUUGAAGAUUCAGAGCAAAAUGGGGAAGCUGGUUUGGGGGAGGGGAGAUCGAUUCAGUUUUGACCAUGCUGAAGUUGAGGUGACUGCUAGGAAUUUGCCAUCUGUCAGGAUUUGGGAGAUCAAAACAUAAGAGAGAAGUCAGGAGUGAAAACCAGAGGGUCCUAAGUACAUAGGUGGUGCUUAAAACUAGAUGCCAUCCUUCACGGACAAAAUAUGUAGUGAAACAGGAAGGGAAACGUUAAGAAACCCUUACAGAUUUUAGCAAGUAAUUGAAAAAUGAGAAGCUCUGGAGGAAGAUAGGAAAGGAAUAGCUACAGAGAUUAGAGGAAAACCAAGACAGUGUGGUGUCAUUGCAGCCAAAGGAUGAGAGACUUCAGGAAGGCCUGGCCAGGAGCACCUUAUACAUAGCUAGGGGGGUGAUGGUAAGGAAAAGUUACAUGUGGCCGAGAUGUACAGUGUUUUGGCAGGAGGUGAGCCCAGAAAGACUAGUUAGGUCCUUGUACUGUCUGGUUUCGUGUGUCAACUUGACAUCAUCUAGAGUCGUCAAAGAGGAAGGUGCCUCAGUUGAGGAAAUGCCCCGGUGAGAUCCAGUUGUAAGGCAUUUUCUCAAUUAGUGAUCAAUAGGAGAGGGCCCAGCCUGUGGUAGGUGCUGCUAUUCCUGGACUGGGUUCUGUAAGAAAGCAGGCUGAGCAAGCCAUGUGAAUCAAGCCAAUAAACAGCACCCCUCCAUGACCUCUGCAUCAGCUCCUGCCUCUGGGUUCCUCUUCUGUUUGAGUUCCUGUCCUGGCUUCUUUCGGUUGUGAACAGAAAUAUAGAAGUCUAAGUCUAAUGAAAUCUUUCAUCCCCAACUUGCUUUUUGGUCAUGGUAUUUUGUUUCAGCUGUAAACCCUAACUAAGACAGUCCUGGUCCUAAAGGAGCUUGGUUAUCAGGCCAGAGAACUCUGAACUUUUGUAAAUGAUGGAGAGCUAUCAAUAAUUUUCAGAUAAGAAGGACCUGUUCAGAGCAAGGGUUACAAAGAUCAAGCUGGGGCAGCAUGGGAACUCCUAUGGAGGAAUGGGACUGGAGACAUCAAAAUGAAGUGAAGGGGCCCUUAAGUUGUGGGAACAGCACCGUCUUUGAAGAUCCUUAGCAGAUGAAAUUAGCAAGCCCUAAAAGCAGUAGGAACACUCUGAACCAUAGAGUAAGCAUUAUUAAUAACCAUGUGAGUUAUCUUGUUAAGUCCUCACAGCAAGCCUGAGGUAGAUAAGCAUCAUUAAUGUCAUUUCGUGCAUGAUAAAACAGGAACAUAGAGAUAAAGAUAUUUGCUGAACAGAAUUGGUAAUUGAAAGAACCUAUUUUCCAAACUCUGGUGGUUUGGCUAACCAUCACCUUCCCCCCUCCCCCGCUCCCCUCCAUAGAUUAAACCUAUGGCUUUCCACAAGCACUCUACUACUAACCAUAUCUAAAUGAUCCCAUUACCUACCAAAGGCUGACCUCGAACCUAAGCAGGUCUUCAGCUUGCUCUCCUCCUGCCUCAGCCCUCCAAGUAGCUGAAAUUACAGGCCUGUACUCCCAGGCCUGGCUCUAACAUCCAUUCUUAAGGAUUUCAUUGUUUUUUUUUUAAUUAGAAAACAUGUGGUGUGGUACAUUGGCCCCUAAACACUACUGUGGUGGUACCCAGUGGUGUUGGCAUCAACUGCCAGUGACAGUCAGAGUGGUGGUCACUCUUACCAGGGGUCUGCCAAGUGGGAAAGCACAAAGGGAACAUCUUCAGUCCUGGGUAUGUCCUGGGUGGUCAUUGCAGGUUACACAAAUAAAUGCUCAAAAUACACAUGGAAGACAUGGAUUUAGUGCUACAGCACCCUGAAUAAGUAGCCCCUGAGUGAGGAGUGUUGCCACACUUUUGCUGUUGUUGACAACAGGUUUUUUUUCUGCUUUAGAUGUCAGUUAAUUGAACUUCUUUUAAAUAAUGUGGUUCUCUUCUCUGCUUUCACACACAUGUGACAGCCUUUACAGCAGAACCUAACAGCGGAGUUCAUUGGUGACCCUUUUUUAAUUGAUAUUUAUUGAGCUCUACAUUUUUCUCUGCUCCCCUCCCUGCCUCUCUCC
Molecule: long non-coding RNA, 5227 nt
Organism: Chionomys nivalis (European snow vole)
Lineage: Eukaryota; Metazoa; Chordata; Mammalia; Rodentia; Cricetidae
Exons: 15
Source: RefSeq, a predicted model, not a curated record